RNAcentral lists this ribosomal RNA (490 nucleotides) under uncultured bacterium. RNAcentral describes it as "partial 16S ribosomal RNA". It matches the Rfam family "Bacterial small subunit ribosomal RNA", at positions 29 to 506 of the family's 1533-position model. The record is from RNAcentral.
GUGAACGCUGGCGGUAGGCCUAACACAUGCAAGUCGAACGGCAGCACAGUAAGAGCUUGCUCUUACGGGUGGCGAGUGGCGGACGGGUGAGGAAUACAUCGGAAUCUACUUUUUCGUGGGGGAUAACGUAGGGAAACUUACGCUAAUACCGCAUACGACCUACGGGUGAAAGCAGGGGAUCUUCGGACCUUGCGCGAUUGAAUGAGCCGAUGUCGGAUUAGCUAGUUGGCGGGGUAAAGGCCCACCAAGGCGACGAUCCGUAGCUGGUCUGAGAGGAUGAUCAGCCACACUGGAACUGAGACACGGUCCAGACUCCUACGGGAGGCAGCAGUGGGGAAUAUUGGACAAUGGGCGCAAGCCUGAUCCAGCCAUACCGCGUGGGUGAAGAAGGCCUUCGGGUUGUAAAGCCCUUUUGUUGGGAAAGAAAAGCAGCAGGUUAAUACCCCGCUGUUCUGACGGUACCCAAAGAAUAAGCACCGGCUAACUUCGU